CCUUUCUUGAGCCCCAGUGUCUCUUUGGAUCCUGGUCUACAGGCCAAAUCUUAUAAAUAGAAUAUGUGCCUCAAGGCUUGAAAGUUAGACCUACUUUUAGGCAUAGAUGAAGUCAGAGGGAUUUAAGAAGCCUAACUGUGUGCAGCAUUGGCAGCUGUUAGAGUUUUUAUAAUAAAGUCAGUUAACAUAUACAGUUUUUGAUUUUUGCUUUCAGAAAUCAGACCAAUGCUGAACGCGAAGCAAAUGAUUACCAAGUUACAUAGCCAAAUUUGAGAGAGAAAAUAAGAACAGAGGCGGACAUCCUAUCAAAGCACUUGCAACCAUGUGAUCUUUUUGUGUUAGUACAGUGUUACACACAGAAAAACAGGGACUUGAGCAUGCAAAAGUUUCCUUGAAAACAAAUGUGACAAGCUGCCAUUUCACACUAUUGCAAAAACAUUCUCAAGGUCGGUCUAGAAUGCAAUAGCUAAAAACAAUGUCCAGAAGAGCUUUAUUCACCGGGAUGUCAGUCAGUGAGAGUAAUGGAACCUACGCCCAUAAACCUGGAGGAAAUAAUGCAGGGCUUGACAAAUCCAAGGUAUCAAGCCACCGAUUUUACAGCACCUGGGAGGAGUGGAGGAGAGCUGGGAGACUACUUGUGUGAGCACUGUAAGAUAUUCCCCUACGGGAAUGGGGCCGUUCAAGGAAGAGCAUCUAAGUUCCAAGUUCCCUCCCUGGCAUCUCCAAGAUAGAGCUGAGAGAGACUCCUGCCUGCAACCUUGGAGAAGCUGCUGCCAGUCUGUGUAGAAGAUACUGAGCUAGAUGGACCUAUGGUCUGACUCGGCAUAAGGCAGCUCCCUAUGUUCACCUAGACGAGGAAUUCAGAGAUCCUCAAGUUCCCACACAAAUUCCAACAAAGUGAAUUUGAGCUGCAGAGAAGUAGUGGUUGAUUAACUGCACCCAAGACCGAAUAACCACUGUCUGCAUUCAAGACACCAGCAAAGUUAUGUUGCUACAUUCAGUGGAACACAUAGCACUUGUUGAUGCAUUUUAUGUACAAAAGUACAACAGCCACAAGACAGUCCAAGAGGAAAUAUUUUCUCAUCACAAAGUGGGAUAUCACAAUUAGAUUUUUAAAAUGCUAUGCCCUAAAUUGAGAUGUUUCAUUAAACUUGUUAUGUUUUCACUCAACUACGA
Long non-coding RNA from Hemicordylus capensis (graceful crag lizard), 1176 nucleotides. RefSeq lists it as uncharacterized. Lineage: Eukaryota; Metazoa; Chordata; Lepidosauria; Squamata; Cordylidae. The record is from RefSeq and is a predicted model, not a curated record. The transcript is spliced from 2 exons.